CUAACAUCUCACUACACGUUAAUAUAUUCACUACCUCUCAAUUGUAUCAGCUAAGGGAAGCUUUCUCAUUUACUCUGUUUCAAAUAAACACAUCUAAGAAGAUAUUUCGACCACUGGACUUCAAGAAAUUUCAUCUCCUUGACUCACAGAAACUACCGAGCUCAACCACCACCUUAAGGCUUUGUGACCAGGGGGAUUAGCGCUGCUUUCCCAAGACAGGUUUAUAUGUGAUUAUGAUCUUCAGGCUUUGCCUAUCCAGGUUGGCUGGCCGGUGCUGACGGGACGGAGCUGAGGCUAGCGAUAAAUUCCUAUGAUAGACUUCUGCUGUAGCAAUUACUCAUAUCAGUCUUUUGUUUUCCCAACUUAAGAUCUUCAUGUUAAAUUUCAAAUGAUAUACCUGACCGAACUUAGACUCUUCACUACUAAAUUUAUGCCAAUGAAUGCCGGUUGUCAGAAGCAUGAAACAAAACUUGUGAUCCAAAGGGGCAUAGCCCGACUUUCUAUCAUAUUUCGGGUUUUUACAAGGUUGUUCCUUGUUUA
Salvia miltiorrhiza (redroot sage) is the source of this 540-nucleotide long non-coding RNA. RefSeq lists it as uncharacterized. The record is from RefSeq and is a predicted model, not a curated record. NCBI's taxonomy places the organism in Eukaryota, Viridiplantae, Streptophyta, Magnoliopsida, Lamiales, Lamiaceae. The transcript has 3 exons.